AAUCAACGCUGGCGGCGUGCCUAACACAUGCAAGUCGAACGAGAAAAGUCACUUCGGUGACUGAGUAGAGUGGCGAACGGGUGAGUAACGCGUGGGUGAUCUGCCCUUUGGUGGGGGAUAACCCGGGGAAACCCGGGCUAAUACCGCAUGAGCCUGGAGUUGUCAUGACUUCAGGGAAAGCAUUUAUGUGCCGAAGGAGGAGCCCGCGUCCGAUUAGCUAGUUGGUGGGGUAAGAGCCUACCAAGGCAACGAUCGGUAGCCGGUCUGAGAGGACGGACGGUCACACUGGGACUGAGACACGGCCCAGACUCCUACGGGAGGCAGCAGUGGGGAAUUUUGGGCAAUGGGCGAAAGCCUGACCCAGCAACGCCGCGUGGAGGACGAAGGUUUUCGGAUCGUAAACUCCUGUCUAGAGGGACGAAGCAAGUGACGGUACCUCUGGAGGAAGCCCCGGCUAACUCCGUG
This 465-nucleotide ribosomal RNA is filed under the name uncultured bacterium. RNAcentral's name for it is "bacterial SSU rRNA". It matches the Rfam family "Bacterial small subunit ribosomal RNA", at positions 32 to 507 of the family's 1533-position model. The record is from RNAcentral.